CCCUCCCCUCUCCGCCUCCACCCUCUGAGUCUGUGUCGAUGCAAUCUUUCUGUUUGUUGUUAAAGCUCCAGUGUGCCACAUUGAGGAGGAUUUAUUGUUAUCACUGUUAUAAAUCACUGAUUAUCCGGUUGGACGUGCAACGAGAGAAGGAGAGGACUCAUGUUUCUGUGGAGGAUCAGCUGUCCUGCUGUUCUUUGUGUCAGGACGUCCUGAAGGAUCCAGUCUCUACCAGCUGUGGACACUGGUUCUGCCGCCAGUGCAUCACCUCAUACUGGGACCAGUCUGGUUCAUCAGUGUGGAGAAAGAUCUAGAACAAGACCUGGACUGCAGACAGCCAGUCAGACCAGCACUGUACAAAUUCUGUGAGUGGCUGAAGUCGCUGAUUCGGGACCAGCGUAACGUCCUGCUGACGGCGCUGCUGGGUCUGCUGUCCAUGGCGUGUUUGGGAAUAUCCCCCAGCACCGCCCUGCCCACCCUCCUCAUCCCCUUCACCCUGUGGAUGGCCAGC
Molecule: long non-coding RNA, 508 nt
Organism: Dicentrarchus labrax (European seabass)
Lineage: Eukaryota; Metazoa; Chordata; Actinopteri; Moronidae
Exons: 3
Source: RefSeq, a predicted model, not a curated record